RNAcentral lists this long non-coding RNA (566 nucleotides) under Hordeum vulgare. Its description in RNAcentral is "long non-coding RNA (HVUL_LNC004371)". Lineage: Eukaryota; Viridiplantae; Streptophyta; Magnoliopsida; Poales; Poaceae. The record is from RNAcentral.
GAGGGAGUAUGUAGUAGUAGACCAAAAUACAUGAACGUGAAAUAUCCCAGGUGAUGCUAAAUAAAGCAUCAACACUGGUAAUGAAAGUGAAAUCCUCUAUGAAAAUGUAAACUAUAAUGCAUGAAGUAAGGCCAGAUUUCAACUUUAUCAAUCCAGAUAGUGAAGUUUAUUUUUAUGACCUCAACAGUCAACACCCCCUCUUCCAGUAUCCCUGAAACAACCACAUAAAAUUAUUUUUACAUGGAAAAUACAUGAAAACUGGAUCAAAAAGGCAGAGGAGGAAACAAUACAAGACUCGAUAACUCACUUGACCAAGAAUAUUUUCUAGGAAGGAUUUCAUCAUACCACGUAGGACACUGUUUAUUGCUGCCAUCAAGUAAUGCCUACAUAGUAUAUUUUAUUCGCAUCAGCACCAGCCUGUAUAAAUAAAUUAUAAUUUAUUUGAGAAGUACUUGAGAUGCUGACUGCAGAAAAUGUAUGCACCAAGAAAUGAAGCUGCGUCUACAUACUGAAGGAAGCUCCAUAAAUGAAGAAAGAUUAAGAAGUGAUGCUUCAUAAAAAUAGCA